Ictalurus punctatus (channel catfish) is the source of this 2281-nucleotide long non-coding RNA. Lineage: Eukaryota; Metazoa; Chordata; Actinopteri; Siluriformes; Ictaluridae. The record is from Ensembl.
UGAACUUUGGCCAUUAUAAGCAGCACUUGACAAGACCGUUCUCUCAGUCAUAUGAUACAUAUGCCCUAUGAUCCAUCAUGACUUGCAACUAAAUAUAAAUGAGUAAAUGAAAUUCCAGUGAAUAAAAAUACACUUAGGACAGGUAGAGUUAAGUGCUACUGCCAGGAAUCCCCCUUAGAGCACAGAGCUUUUAUCUGUGCUGUUUGCUGAGCCCAUGCUCUUAUUGUGACGUUUAUUUCACCUCCUGUUCCUGUCUCCACCCCUAGGGUUGUUACCCUGAUUGUAUGCAGCUGGCCCUGUUUAGGUUCUAAUUAGUUUCUCUACUGAGUCCCUCUUAUUGCUACAUGUAGUUUAGGAGUUGUAUUGGCAUGUGUUUGGUGCCCGUUAUAGAAACAAGCAGCUAUUAAACUUUGUUAAAAAUGAGCUUUAAGGUGGAGAAUAUUGCUAGGUUCCUGUAUUUCAUGGACCCCAGCAGCGGAUCCUGUUCACUAGCAUAAAUGUUAUCCAUAGUCUUUCAACAAGCUCUUGCAAGCUGGACUCAGCAAGCAGAUGCUCUAGAACCUUCUGAAAAGCAUUAAAAGCUCACCCAGCUUGGUAUCAGCACUUCUCUCUGCAACUGGGUUUGACUUUCUAACUAACAGGCCCCAGUCCAUCAAGUUAGACAACCUCUUCUCCUCAAUCACCCUGAACACCAGCAUGCCACAAGUCUGUGUGCUGAGCCUGCUUCUGUACUCCCUGUUCACCCAUGACUGUGCUACUGCUUAUGGCUUCAACUCCAAAAUCAAGUUCACAGAUGACACCACGGUGAUAGGCCUGAUCGAAGACAAUGAGACUGCCUAUAAGGAUGAGGUUCAGCACUUGCCCAGGUGGUGUGCAACAAAUAACUUGGAACUUCUCAAGAAGACGAAAGAUCAUUGUGGACUUCAGGCGGACUGGAAGCCAGGCCCCAUCAAUGGACCUGUGGUGGAGCGUGUGCCUGGUUUCAACUUCCUUCGCAUCCACAUCUCCCAUGAUCUCACCUGGUCCCUUAACACCUCCACCAUAGUCAAAAAGGCACAGCAGCACCUUUACUUUCUAAGGAACCUCAAGAAGGCACACCUGUGUCCUACGAUCCUGGUGGACUUCUAUUGCUGUACCAUUAUGAGCAUACUCACUAACUGCAUCUCAGUCUGGUAGAGCAACUGCUCUGCUUCUGACCGCAAAGCACUCCAGCAGGUAAUUAAAACUGCCCAACAAAUAACUGGCACCCAGCUACCCACCACUGAUGACAUCUACCACAAGCAUUACCUUGGCCAGGCAAAACACAUCAUUAAGGAUGCCUCCUACCCUAACAAUGGACUUUUCACCCUCCUCCCUGCUGGCAGGCGGUACAGAAGUCUACAUUCCUGCACAAGUAGGCUCAAGAAGAGCUUCUUCCCCCGAGGCUGUGACCCUGCUAAACUCAAACCCUCCACUCUAAAAUUCCACACCUUGUAUUAUACUGUACUGCUCAGUACUUUAUUGGACAGUUAUUAUUGGAUGGUUACUUGCACUAUUCAUAUUUGCAUUCUGAACCUCACUGUUUACCCAUGUUCUGUACAUAUCAUCCAAUUGUACAUAUGUUGAUGUUCAUACUGUACAUGCCUCUCAUUUGCAAUCCCUUUCUAUUUUAAUAUAUUCACUGCUAAUGAAAUGCAGUUAGAUGCUAACUGCAUUUCAUUAGCUCUGUACUUGUACUCUGCUUAAUGACUAAAGUUGAAUCUAAUCUAGUCUCAUGUAUCACCUAUCUAAUCAGGUAUCAUGUUAUGUGUCACAGUUGUGGCUUAGGCUCUGGGUUACUGAUCGGAAGGUCAGGGUUUCAAGCCCUAGCACUGCCAAGCUGCUAUGGUUGGGCCCUUGAGCAAGGCCCUUAACCCUCUCUGCUCCAGGGGCACUAUCAUGGCUGACCCUGUGCUCUGACCCCAACUUCCUAACAUGCCGGGCUAUGCGAAGAAAAGAAUUUCACUGUGCAUACGUAUGUGAUCAAUAAAGACUCAUGUGUCUAGUGUCAUGUAUCUAAUGUAUCAUGUGUUUAAUGUUUUUUUUUUUUUUUUUUUUUUUUUUUUCUGGAUACACUCAAUGUUGCAUCACUGUAUGCACAUUUACAGUACCUGCUUUUGUUGAUCUGUAAGCAGAUGGAUCAACUAAUAUUGCAUACAUGAUUAGAUACAUAUCAUAGCGUCUCUCAGUAUCUGUUUGGAGAUUAUAAAAUAUUCGUCCAUAAAGUUUUGCUUGCAUCCUUUUUCAAACUGUCUUUUUAAAC